Molecule: ribosomal RNA, 574 nt
Filed under: Rhodotorula kratochvilovae
Lineage: Eukaryota; Fungi; Basidiomycota; Microbotryomycetes; Sporidiobolales; Sporidiobolaceae
Description: eukaryotic LSU rRNA
Rfam family: Eukaryotic large subunit ribosomal RNA
Source: RNAcentral
AAACUAACAAGGAUUCCCCUAGUAGCGGCGAGCGAAGCGGGAAGAGCUCAAAUUUAUAAUCUGGCACCUUCGGUGUCCGAGUUGUAAUCUCUAGAAGUGUUUUCCGCGUUGGACCGCACACAAGUCUGUUGGAAUACAGCGGCACAGUGGUGAUACCCCCGUACACGGUGCGGACGCCCAGCGCUUUGUGAUACACUUUCAAUGAGUCGAGUUGUUUGGGAAUGCAGCUCAAAUUGGGUGGUAAAUUCCAUCUAAAGCUAAAUAUUGGCGAGAGACCGAUAGCGAACAAGUACCGUGAGGGAAAGAUGAAAAGCACUUUGGAAAGAGAGUUAACAGUACGUGAAAUUGUUGGAAGGGAAACGCUUGAAGUCAGACUUGCUUGCCGGAGCUUGCUUCGGUUUGCAGGCCAGCAUCAGUUUUCCGGGGUGGAUAAUGGUGGUUUGAAGGUAGCAGCCUCGGCUGUGUUAUAGCUUUCCACUGGAUACAUCCUGGGGGACUGAGGAACGCAGCGUGCUUUUUGCGAAGGUUUCGACCUUUUCACGCUUAGGAUGCUGGUGUAAUGACUUUAAACGAC